AGAGUUUGAUCCUGGCUCAGGGUGAACGCUGGCGGCAGGCUUAACACAUGCAAGUCGAACGCACCUUCGGGUGAGUGGCAGACGGGUGAGUAACGCGUGGGAACGUGCCCUUCAGUUCGGAAUAACCCAGGGAAACUUGGGCUAAUACCGGAUACGUGCGAGAGCAGAAAGAUUUAUCACUGAAGGAUCGGCCCGCGUCUGAUUAGCUAGUUGGUGGGGUAACGGCCCACCAAGGCGACGAUGCGUAGCCGACCUGAGAGGGUGAUCGGCCACACUGGGACUGAGACACGGCCCAGACUCCUACGGGAGGCAGCAGUAGGGAAUCUUCCGCAAUGGACGCAAGUCUGACGGAGCAAUGCCGCGUGAGUGACGAAGGUUUUCGGAUCGUAAAACUCUGUUGCGAGGGAAGAAACCGUACCAGCUAACUACUGGUACCUUGACGGUACCUCGCCAGAAAGCCACGGCUAACUACGUGCCAGCAGCCGCGGUAAUACGUAGGUGGCAAGCGUUGUCCGGAAUUAUUGGGCGUAAAGCGCGCGCAGGCGGUCCCUUAAGUCUGAUGUGAAAGCCCACGGCUCAACCGUGGAGGGUCAUUGGAAACUGGGGGACUUGAGUGCAGAAGAGGAAAGUGGAAUUCCACGUGUAGCGGUGAAAUGCGUAGAGAUGUGGAGGAACACCAGUGGCGAAGGCGACUUUCUGGUCUGUAACUGACGCUGAGGCGCGAAAGCGUGGGGAGCAAACAGGAUUAGAUACCCCCGUAGUCC
Molecule: ribosomal RNA, 764 nt
Filed under: uncultured Caryophanaceae bacterium
Lineage: Bacteria; Bacillati; Bacillota; Bacilli; Caryophanales; Caryophanaceae
Description: bacterial SSU rRNA
Rfam family: Bacterial small subunit ribosomal RNA
Source: RNAcentral